RNAcentral lists this ribosomal RNA (261 nucleotides) under Triticum aestivum (bread wheat). RNAcentral describes it as "partial small subunit ribosomal RNA". The record is from RNAcentral. Lineage: Eukaryota; Viridiplantae; Streptophyta; Magnoliopsida; Poales; Poaceae.
AUGGAGGGAACCAUGAAGAGUGGCGCCAGGGGGGUCAAGGGGAAGGUGGCGAUGGUGUACUCCAAGUACGCCGGCAAGGCCCAGGCCAAGCCUGCCCCGAGCGUCACUGCCGCACACGCCUACCAGCCCAGGUACCCUUCUGCCAUUGACGCGACGGCGAGCGCCGCCUAUGCCGCCACCGGUGACGUCGACGAGAGGGCCACGGCCUUCAUACUGUCCGUCCGAGAGCGCUUCAAGAACGAGCAGAAGAUGGUGAUUUAG